CAAGCAAGCCAAGGACCAUAUGUUUUUUGUGUUACACUUUCAGCAUCUAAGCUUAUUAUAUUCAACACAAGGAGAAAGUCCCCGGAAAAAAAAAUAUCUUCUGUCCAAUGAUUAAGAUUAGGGCAGUGGGGUAUUUAGUAAAGCAACUUUGUUUGUUGUUUUUUUUCAUAUAAAAAGUAAUAUGGUCACCCUAUAAUAAUGGGGCAACUUAAUGGGGCUUACUCUGGCUUGUUU
Molecule: RNase MRP RNA, 234 nt
Filed under: Puccinia triticina 1-1 BBBD Race 1
Lineage: Eukaryota; Fungi; Basidiomycota; Pucciniomycetes; Pucciniales; Pucciniaceae
Description: RNase MRP
Rfam family: RNase MRP
About the family: RNase MRP is an enzymatically active ribonucleoprotein with two distinct roles in eukaryotes. In mitochondria it plays a direct role in the initiation of mitochondrial DNA replication. In the nucleus it is involved in precursor rRNA processing, where it cleaves the internal transcribed spacer 1 between 18S and 5.8S rRNAs.
Source: Rfam by way of RNAcentral